RNAcentral lists this long non-coding RNA (2538 nucleotides) under Taeniopygia guttata (zebra finch). RNAcentral describes it as "lncRNA (ENSTGUG00000024806.1)". Lineage: Eukaryota; Metazoa; Chordata; Aves; Passeriformes; Estrildidae. The record is from RNAcentral.
UUUUUUUUUUUUUUUUGCUUUUAUCUUCUUUGUUCUUGUUAGAGUAAACCCUUCCUGUCUUGACCAGGAAGAGCAGCUAGCCCCUUGUGUCUAAGGUUUCAGUGAAGGAGACAAAAUACAAUCAACAGGAGGAACCCUUGAACCAAGAGCAGGCUCACAAAGGAACUGCUGUAGAUAUGGGGACUCUCCAAUGAAUUCUCAGAGGCAGUAAGGACACGAGUGGCAUCAUGAAGAAUUAACAAGUUAAGAAGUACCUUUCUGAAGAUUUGGAAAAUAUUUACAAGAGGAGCAAAAGGAAAAAAUAUAAGGAAAUGUGAGUUUGGGACUUCCUUUUAAGAGAAGGAUUUGUCUUAGCAGGAUCGUUGUUAGUCAGGGCCACCUAUUCUCUUCUGUAUGAUGUGAUGUGUUGCUUUUAUCAAUAAAAUCUGUCAACAACUCAAAUAAACUACAAAGCUAUGCUAAAACGCCUUUCCCCAUCAAUGUAUCUAGUGAUACUGAUAUUUAUGCUAAUACUAAACAUUGUCAUUAUCUACAAGAAAACAUACUUGUCCUACUCCUCCUAAUCAAAUUUCCCCCAGAGUCAUACAAACCUACAAGCAUAUUUGAUAAAAUUAGGGACAAUUCUCUUAUAAAAAUAGCUUUAAAAAAAAAAAAAACCUCUCACAUAACAUUUUAGUUGUUCUACCAAAGGUAUCACUUUACUGGCUAUAGCAGACUGAAUUGAUUUGUCUUUUGAUUUAGCUGAUCUUAUCUUAACAGAUGAGCAGACAUGCCUAGAACUUAUAUGAGAGACCAUCUGGAAAUAUUAGGUCCUGAAUGUGCAAGGCAAAGUGUCAGAGACACUGGGUCAUGAAACUGAAUGAUUGGAAGAUUACAAUGGUUCUCUUGCCACUGCAAGAUGGCAUAAGAAUUGUAACAGGAAAUGAAGAUUCAACUGUUUAUCCUCAAAAGACAAGAAGCAUGGCUUCCACCCCUGCAAAUACCACCUUCAUCUCACCAGCCUCACCUCUUCUAGUUCUCUUUUUUACAUCUGAGUGUCUUUGCUGUUUAUGCAACACUAUGUAUGAUGGUUUCUUUUCUCAUGCACCCUUCUAUAAUUGAAGUUAGGCUAACACCUCUUACUCACCUCUAAGCAAUUUGCUAGAAAAGCUGUCUCAAAAGUAUACAGAAUAUUAGAAUUCAUAAGAAAUUAAGUAGAUAUUAUCAUUAAUGGUAGCAUAGCACAUCUAUAGUUCAGGCCAUUCAACAUGAAUAACAAUAUAGCAAGAGUACCAGGAGAUUCAGAUAAGACUGUUAAAAAUUACCAGAAGUACUAAAAGACUUUCAUAUUGAAAAACUGUGAAAAUGUUAUUAUUAUUUAUUGGCUACCUCUGGGGAGUGGACACUGGAUUGGGAAAACAUUACUCUAUAUCUGACUGAUUUCUAACAACCAGUAUAGGUUGGGUUUUCAAGUUAUCCAGUAUUACAUAUGUUGUGGUUCAUUCCUAAUCUUGCAAUGUGCAUACAUUUCCCAAGGAGAAGGCUUUUAGCAAGAGAGAGACGCAACUCUUUCCCUGUUACACUCUGGAGAUGGAAACCUUCAGACACCUUUCUUGGUAAACAAGGUUGUCUUUAAAUCUGUAGUACUAAGGUAUUUAGUACUAAAUUUCCAUCAGAUUAGGAAGAUUUUGGCAUGCUUAACUGAAGAUUUACAGUGGAGAAAUUGGGCAGUGACAAGCAUCAUGGCACAGAAACACUACAAGUCUGGUUGUAAGCAAAGUGGAAUGAGCCAGAUUCCAGUGUUGCCAGUAAUUAAUAACAUGAGGGAUAAGAACUGUUGGCUCUAAAAUGUCUUCAUGUGGGAAAAUAAAUAUUUGAUGACCUUAAAUAGUAUGUCAAAGAAACAAAGAAUAUGCUUAUAUCUCCCCGCCCGCACCAGGUGUACCACUUGAAGUCUGACAGUAUGACAUCUUUGAACCCUACAGCAUAAAUUCUACCUUCUACCUGCAAACUGAGACUUCUAGCAUGACAUAAUCCAAAACACAUGAAAUAAGUUUUAAAAAGUGAUGUUUUGCUUGCAUAGCUACAAUUCUAUUAGCGUCUCUCUCUGCCACAAAUUGUGAUAGAGAAAUUCUUGCUUGAUGCCCCGUGUUUGCCACAGGUUUCUGACUGUAGAUAAUUCAUUCAAUGAUACAAAGAUAUGUUGCCAACAUCUUCGAACCUUUAGAAAGGUACUUUGAAAACUGGUUCCAAAAUAUUUUGGAUGGCAAACAUCACUCAACUGUCAACACUUCCAUUGGACCACCAUGCAACAUUAUCAAAUGUUCAACUGGUAAUUUUUGGCACUAGAGCUCAACAGGCUGCUUGCAGAUGUCCCACUGGGAACCGACAAACCACCAGUGGCCCACACACAAAAGCUUGAGACUGGUUAAUUGGAAUAUGUUAUUUGUAAUAAGCCUUCCACUGGAUUCUUCCUAUUGUCUUUCACCAGUUCUAAUGUCUUUCACAGUGAAUCAAAACCAAAUGUUAAAGAUGGGGGAAAGAACUCGUAAAAAGAAC